UACGAAGGGGGCGAGCGUUGUUCGGAAUUACUGGGCGUAAAGGGCGCGCAGGCGGCUCUGAAAGUCAGAUGUGAAAGCCCCGGGCUUAACCUGGGAAUUGCAUUUGAUACUCUGGAGCUUGAGUGUGGGAGAGGAGAGUGGAAUUGCGAGUGUAGAGGUGAAAUUCGUAGAUAUUCGCAGGAACACCAGUGGCGAAGGCGGCUCACUGGACCACAACUGACGCUGAGGCACGAAAGCGUGGGGAGCAAACAGGG
This 254-nucleotide ribosomal RNA is filed under the name uncultured bacterium. RNAcentral describes it as "partial 16S ribosomal RNA". It matches the Rfam family "Bacterial small subunit ribosomal RNA", at positions 524 to 777 of the family's 1533-position model. The record is from RNAcentral.